This 75-nucleotide transfer RNA is filed under the name Oscillospiraceae bacterium. RNAcentral describes it as "tRNA-His". It matches the Rfam family "tRNA". Rfam says of the family: Transfer RNA (tRNA) molecules are approximately 80 nucleotides in length. Their secondary structure includes four short double-helical elements and three loops (D, anti-codon, and T loops). RNAcentral also lists the same sequence under 1 other name. Lineage: Bacteria; Bacillati; Bacillota; Clostridia; Eubacteriales; Oscillospiraceae. The record is from RNAcentral.
GUGGACGUAGCUCAAAGGUAGAGCGUUGGGUUGUGGCCCCAAAUGUUACGGAUUCGAGUUCCGUCGUCCACCCCA